GUUGUAUGGUUAAGUGACUAAGCGUACACGGUGGAUGCCUUGGCAGUCAGAGGCGAUGAAAGACGUAGUAACUUGCGAUAAGCCCAGAUUAGGUAGUAACAACCAUUUGAGUCUGGGAUUUCUGAAUGGGGAAACCCACGUGCAUAAGCACGUAUCCUUACCUGAAUACAUAGGGUAAGGAGGCGAACCGGGGGAACUGAAACAUCUAAGUACCCCGAGGAAAAGAAAUCAACCGAGAUUCCGAAAGUAGCGGCGAGCGAAAUUGGACUAGCCCUUAAGCUUUACACGCGUUAGACGAACGGUCUGGAAAGUCCGACGAUACAGGGUGAUAGUCCCGUAGUUGACGACGUGUGUUCAGUGAAAUCGAGUAGGGCGGGACACGUGAUAUCCUGUCUGAAUAUGGGGGGACCAUCCUCCAAGGCUAAAUACUACUGACUGACCGAUAGUGAACCAGUACCGUGAGGGAAAGGCGAAAAGAACCCCUGUGAGGGGAGUGAAAUAGAACCUGAAACCGUGUACGUACAAGCAGUAGGAGCAGGCUUUGUCCUGUGACUGCGUACCUUUUGUAUAAUGGGUCAGCGACUUAUAUUCAGUGGCAAGGUUAACCAUCUAGGGGAGCCGUAGGGAAACCGAGUCUUAACUGGGCGUUCAGUCUCUGGAUAUAGACCCGAAACCAGGUGAUCUAGCCAUGGGCAGGUUGAAGGUUGAGUAACAUCAACUGGAGGACCGAACCGACUAAUGUUGAAAAAUUAGCGGAUGACUUGUGGCUAGGGGUGAAAGGCCAAUCAAACCUGGAGAUAGCUGGUUCUCCCCGAAAGCUAUUUAGGUAGCGCCUCGGACGAAUACUACUGGGGGUAGAGCACUGUUAAGGCUAGGGGGUCAUCCCGACUUACCAACCCUUUGCAAACUCCGAAUACCAGUAAGUACUAUCCGGGAGACACACGGCGGGUGCUAACGUCCGUCGUGGAGAGGGAAACAACCCAGACCGCCAGCUAAGGUCCCAAAUUACUACUAAGUGGGAAACGAUGUGGGAAGGCUCAGACAGCCAGGAUGUUGGCUUAGAAGCAGCCAUCAUUUAAAGAAAGCGUAAUAGCUCACUGGUCGAGUCGGCCUGCGCGGAAGAUGUAACGGGGCUAAGUAGUAAACCGAAGCUGCGGCAAUGUGCUUUUGCACAUUGGGUAGGGGAGCGUUCUGUAAGCGGUUGAAGGUGUGUGGUAACGCAUGCUGGACGUAUCAGAAGUGCGAAUGCUGACAUGAGUAACGAUAAAGGGGGUGAAAAACCUCCUCGCCGGAAGACCAAGGGUUCCUGUCCAACGUUAAUCGGGGCAGGGUAAGUCGACCCCUAAGGCGAGGCCGAAAGGCGUAGUCGAUGGGAAACGGGUUAAUAUUCCCGUACUUCUUACAAUUGCGAUGGGGGGACGGAGAAGGCUAGGUGGGCCUGGCGACGGUUGUCCAGGUUCAAGUGCGUAGGCUUGAGAGUUAGGUAAAUCCGGCUCUCUUUAAGGCUGAGACACGACGUCGAGCCACUACGGUGGUGAAGUCAUUGAUGCCAUGCUUCCAGGAAAAGCCUCUAAGCUUCAGAUUGUAAGGAAUCGUACCCCAAACCGACACAGGUGGUCGGGUAGAGAAUACCAAGGCGCUUGAGAGAACUCGGGUGAAGGAACUAGGCAAAAUGGUACCGUAACUUCGGGAGAAGGUACGCUCUCGACGGUGAAGUCCCUUGCGGAUGGAGCUAUUGAGAGUCGCAGAUACCAGGUGGCUGCAACUGUUUAUUAAAAACACAGCACUGUGCAAAAUCGUAAGAUGACGUAUACGGUGUGACGCCUGCCCGGUGCCGGAAGGUUAAUUGAUGGGGUUAGACUUCGGUCGAAGCUCUUGAUCGAAGCCCCGGUAAACGGCGGCCGUAACUAUAACGGUCCUAAGGUAGCGAAAUUCCUUGUCGGGUAAGUUCCGACCUGCACGAAUGGCGUAAUGAUGGCCACGCUGUCUCCACCCGAGACUCAGUGAAAUUGAAAUCGCUGUGAAGAUGCAGUGUACCCGCGGCUAGACGGAAAGACCCCGUGAACCUUUACUACAGCUUGGCACUGAACAUUGACCCUACAUGUGUAGGAUAGGUGGGAGGCUUUGAAGCACGUACGCCAGUAUGUGUGGAGCCGUCCUUGAAAUACCACCCUUGUAGUGUUGAUGUUCUAACGUUGACCCCUAAUCGGGGUUGCGGACAGUGCCUGGUGGGUAGUUUGACUGGGGCGGUCUCCUCCCAAAGAGUAACGGAGGAGCACGAAGGUGGGCUAAUCACGGUUGGACAUCGUGAGGUUAGUGCAAUGGCAUAAGCCCGCUUGACUGCGAGAAUGACAAUUCGAGCAGGUGCGAAAGCAGGUCAUAGUGAUCCGGUGGUUCUGAAUGGAAGGGCCAUCGCUCAACGGAUAAAAGGUACUCCGGGGAUAACAGGCUGAUACCGCCCAAGAGUUCAUAUCGACGGCGGUGUUUGGCACCUCGAUGUCGGCUCAUCACAUCCUGGGGCUGAAGUCGGUCCCAAGGGUAUGGCUGUUCGCCAUUUAAAGUGGUACGCGAGCUGGGUUUAGAACGUCGUGAGACAGUUCGGUCCCUAUCUGCCGUGGGCGUUGGAAGAUUGAAGGGGGCUGCUCCUAGUACGAGAGGACCGGAGUGGACGAACCUCUGGUGUUCGGGUUGUGUCGCCAGACGCAUUGCCCGGUAGCUAAGUUCGGAAUCGAUAACCGCUGAAAGCAUCUAAGCGGGAAGCGAGCCCUGAGAUGAGUCUUCCCUGAUACUUUAAGUAUCCUAAAGGGUUGUCGGAGACUACGACGUUGAUAGGUCAGGUGUGUAAGUGCUGUGAGGCAUUGAGCUAACUGAUACUAAUUGCCCGUGAGGCUUAACCAUACAACACCCAAGGGGUUU
Molecule: ribosomal RNA, 2916 nt
Filed under: Vibrio parahaemolyticus
Lineage: Bacteria; Pseudomonadati; Pseudomonadota; Gammaproteobacteria; Vibrionales; Vibrionaceae
Description: 23S ribosomal RNA
Rfam family: Bacterial large subunit ribosomal RNA
Source: RNAcentral